RNAcentral lists this ribosomal RNA (229 nucleotides) under uncultured bacterium. Its description in RNAcentral is "partial 16S ribosomal RNA". It matches the Rfam family "Bacterial small subunit ribosomal RNA", at positions 568 to 796 of the family's 1533-position model. The record is from RNAcentral.
UGCGUAGGUGGUUUUGUAUGUCGGAUGUGAAAGCCCAUCGCUCAACGGUGGAACUGCAUUCGAAACUACAGGACUAGAGUCUAGGAGGGGAGAGCGGAAUUCUUGGUGUAGCGGUGAAAUGCGUUGAUAUCAAGAAGAACACCGGUGGCGAAGGCGGCUCUCUGGAAUAGUACUGACACUGAGGCACGAAAGCUGGGGGAGCGAACAGGAUUAGAUACCCUGGUAGUCC